AAUACUUUAGUACUUGUGCAGUCUUGCUGUUUAUUGAGAUUCUAUAAAAUAUAUGAAAAGCAUUGAUAUAAGAAACUUCAAAGAGCCUUUCCUCUUCUAAGUAUUAUUGAAGUUUGUGGAGCUGUGUUAAUGGUACAUUAACUUGCACAAGCUUUUAUGUAAAUAUAAUCAAAUAGAUGACAUUUGGGGCAUGAGGUCAAAGCAUUUAUAAUUUGAUUUCCUUUUCAGGUUUUAAAAACUUUUACUUGCCCAUAUCAAAUAGUCUAAUGUUUAAAAUCAGGGUUAGAAGUAAUAGAGUUUACCAUUUAAUCAAGAAAAAAACAUAAUAAACUAUAAAUCUAGUAGUAGAAAGAUGUAGCAAAAUAAAACUCUGAAAUACAAUGAUUGCGGGCACAACUGUAUCCCUGAUCAAGAUUUUUAAAAUUAUUUUUGUGGGACUGUCAGGCAUUUGUGGGACACAUUGACAGAAAUCUAACCUGGAAUACUUCUUUUCAGGCGAAUUAUAAACUGAAAACUCCUUAUAUUCUAGGAAUGCACAUAUGUACUAGCCCCUUCUCACAAAAUAACAAAUGUGAAAAAGUGGAGCUAUGAUUUAUUUGCACUUUGACAAGAUGGCCUAUAGUCUUCUCGGGCAAUCAAUGAGAAUUAAAAGCAGUUCAUCUCCAUAUCUAGUAUAAGUUUAUAUACAAAAAAUGUCUUAUCUAGAAUUAUAUGGAUAUCUAACCCUACCAAGUUACUAAAUGACAUUAAAAGUAUAUAGGAAGCAAACAUUUUUAUUAACAAUUUUGAACAAAACAGUUAGGAAAACUAUUCCUCCCACAACCUCUAUUAUCUAUUAUUUUUUUACUCUUAUAAAAUAUAAUAACAAAAAAUAACAUAAGAUUCCAGUGUCACAAACUCACUCUAAGGAAAAAUAACAAUGAAAUAAGACUUAUUUUUAUUUUAUGAAAGAUCAUAAAAUUAAAAGAAAAAAGAAAAUGUGCAAACUUCCCAAUGGCACAUCAUAAGUUUUGAAAGUAAGAUGUGUAACACCUCUCCCAACCAUAGUGAAAUUAUUUAAAGAGUUUAAAUCUAUUUUCCAAACUGUAGCAGAAAAUAUGCCAUUAAAUCUUUUUUCUGACUGGCAAUCUGCAACAAAUUAAAUUACUUUUACACACUAGAAGUUAUCUUAUUGCUUUGCUUUUCCCUGAGAACUGUCAGAAAGCAUAGCUUAAAAUCCUGACCCAUGAAGAGGGUGAGGAAUUAAAUACAUGGGGAAAUGUAACUAAGUGGUUAACAGACAAGUUCCCAAUCUCCCCAUCUCCAAAUCACUAAAUGGUACUGAUAUUUAGUAUUUACGAGAUUAACUCCAGGGAGCAGAAGAGUUACCCUGAAGACUGAUGAUAAAGCUUUUGGUGCAACCAAGCUGCUUGAACUCUACUCAUUUAGUGCAAUCUUAUUGUGGGUGAAAGGCCCUUGCUAUACCAACUCAGGGUGAAAUGCCAUGAUCAAAUGCUUACAUUUCAGCAUGCAGGAUUGGGCAGAGGGACUAUUUUUUUAACACAGUGUACCACCUUCUGAAAUAAGAUAAUUCUUAGGCCAGAAAAAUAAGGUUAUAUGUAAAAUAUCAGAUUUGUCUCAAAUGUGAUAAAACAUUUAUGUCUAGGUCAUGAAGGAAUUUUGAUUGCUCAAAAUGUGAUUCCUAAUACUACAAAGCAUUUUUUUCCACAAAAGUGAACGUAUCCUUUUAUUCUUCAAGAAGACAAUGGAAGGCGUCAUGGAAACACACCAUGUGAAGUCAUCUUUCUGGGUUCCCAGCCAGCUGUGACUCCAACAUCAGAAUCAUCUCUAGAAAUGUAUCUUCUGGAGAAGGCAUAUAGAAGCAUGCAACCUUAGUACUGGGAGAGAGAUAAAGCUUUUGCCUCACAACAGUUAUGGAAACUAAAGGAUGUAUAAGUUGCAAUCCCUGAUCAAACAAAUCACAGUUAAGUAUUCCAAGGUAAGACCUAUUGUUUUACAACAGGGGUGUCAAACUCAAGGCCCGCAGGCUGGAUGCAGCCUGUGAUGUAGUUAAAUAUGGCCUGCAGGGUUGUCUUUGAGACAGCAAAGGACAAGCACUUGACGCCUCAGCCCCAGCUCAGCGCUAAUCUAUAACUUGAUGGCUGCUAUCCGGGCUGGAACACAGUCGGCCUUAGAUCUGCAGGGCCGUCCUGGUGCCAGUGAGGAAUUGCCCCACUGCCUGGGCCCAACUCCCUGGGU
This is a non-coding RNA of Pseudonaja textilis, 2238 nucleotides long. The record is from RefSeq and is a predicted model, not a curated record. NCBI's taxonomy places the organism in Eukaryota, Metazoa, Chordata, Lepidosauria, Squamata, Elapidae.